GUUGUCAUUUCAAUGUUAUAUUUAACUUUGCCAUUAAAGUGCGAGGUUUGGCAUGCCACAAAACCAGGUUCAACCCACCACUUUUAUUCCCCUUUAAAAGUGUCCUGUACCAAGUCAGGAAGAUGGCCAUUGUUAUAGUAUUGUUCGUUUCUGUGUGUGUUGCAUUUUAACGUUGGGUCGUUUGUGUUUUCUCUUAUUUUUGAGAAAUUGAGAUAAGACGUGGCACGGUUCUUGUCUAUCCCAAAUCCAUGUAUUUGGUUUUCAUGUUAUAUUUGUUAUUCUCGUGGUGUUUUGUCUGAUGCUUGGUCCGUUUCUGUGUGUGUUACGUUUCGGUGUUAUGUCGCUGUUCUCCUCUUAUAUUUAAUGCGUUUCCCUCGGUUUUAGUUUGUUACCCCGAUUUUGUUUUUUGUCCAUGGAUUUAUGAGUUUUGAACAGCGGUAUACUACUGUUGCCUUUAUUUAUAUUUCAUCUAUUAUCAUCAAGAGCAAACAAUAUAUCGUGCGUCUCAAUUUGAAUGAGGGUCUGUAAUGGGUGUAGGGUGAUGUCCUUCAUUUCUGUAUUCUCAAUUUGUAAAGUCAUUUUUCUCUAAUCUUUAUGUUUUAACACCUCAUUAUUUUCUAUUCUUUAUUUUAAUGUGGGGUCCGAUUUUUCUUAUUCUUUAUAUCUUUUCCCAAUCAUUCUCUAAUCUUUAUGUUUUAACCACUCAUUAUUUUUUAUUUUAUGGUCUAUUUUUUCUUAUUCUUUAUAUCUUUUGCCAAAGAUUCUCUAAUCUGUAAACCCCAUCCACACUCUCUUGUAAAGCUGAACUUAAUAUACUGAUACAUUAUUUGAAAGUAACUUACGUUAUGCGACCUUACUAAGUAUCUCCUGGUGAUGGAAGUAUGAUAUAAAAUAACACUAGCACUAGGCUACGGAAUAUAUCACAUUUUCAUAC
Molecule: long non-coding RNA, 934 nt
Filed under: Mytilus galloprovincialis (Mediterranean mussel)
Lineage: Eukaryota; Metazoa; Mollusca; Bivalvia; Mytilida; Mytilidae
Source: RNAcentral